AUCGCUUCUCGGCCUUUUGGCUAAGAUCAAGUGUAGUAUCUGUUCUUAUCAGUUUAAUAUCUGAUGCGUCCUCUAUCCGAGGACAAUAUAUUAAAUGGAUUUUUGGAGCUGGGAGUUGGAAUGGGAGCUUGCUCCGUCCACUCCA
Molecule: small nuclear RNA, 145 nt
Filed under: Cervus elaphus hippelaphus
Lineage: Eukaryota; Metazoa; Chordata; Mammalia; Artiodactyla; Cervidae
Rfam family: U2 spliceosomal RNA
About the family: U2 is a small nuclear RNA (snRNA) component of the spliceosome (involved in pre-mRNA splicing).
Source: RNAcentral